UGCGUAGGCGGACUUGUGCGUCAGGGGUUAAAUGUAACGGCUUAACCGUUAACCUGCCCUUGAUACGGCAAGUCUUGAGUACGGGAGAGGAUGGUGGAAUUCCUGGUGUAGCGGUGAAAUGCGUAGAUAUCGGGAGGAACACCCGUGGCGAAGGCGGCCAUCCGGCCCGCAACUGACGCUGAGGCACGAAAGCGUGGGGAUCAAACAGGAUUAGAUACCCUGGUAGUCCACGCCCUAAACGAUGUAUGCUUGGUGUUGGGAGUUAUGCUUCCAGUGCCGAAGGUAACCCGUUAAGCAUACCGCCUGGGGAGUACGAUCGCAAGGUUGAA
Molecule: ribosomal RNA, 329 nt
Filed under: uncultured bacterium
Lineage: Bacteria
Description: bacterial SSU rRNA
Rfam family: Bacterial small subunit ribosomal RNA
Source: RNAcentral